GUGUCAGCAGCCGCGGUAAAACGUAGGUGGCGAGCGUUAUCCGGAUUCAUUGGGCGUAAAGAGCUUGUAGGUGGCCACAUAAGUUGGACGUGAAAGUCCCGGGCUUAACUCGGGGAGGUCGUUCAAUACUGUGAGGCUAGAGGGCGUCAGAGGGGAGUGGAAUUCCUGGUGUAGCAGUGAAAUGCGUAGAUAUCAGGAGGAACACCCGUGGCGAAGGCGGCUCCCUGGGGCGCCCCUGACACUGAGAAGCGAAAGCUAGGGGAGCAAACGGGAUUAGAAACCCCAGUAGUCC
This 292-nucleotide ribosomal RNA is filed under the name uncultured bacterium. RNAcentral's name for it is "partial 16S ribosomal RNA". It matches the Rfam family "Bacterial small subunit ribosomal RNA", at positions 505 to 796 of the family's 1533-position model. The record is from RNAcentral.